Molecule: microRNA precursor, 59 nt
Filed under: Taeniopygia guttata (zebra finch)
Lineage: Eukaryota; Metazoa; Chordata; Aves; Passeriformes; Estrildidae
Description: Tgu-Mir-132-P1_pre stem-loop
Rfam family: mir-132 microRNA precursor family
Source: RNAcentral
ACCGUGGCUUUAGAUUGUUACUGUGCCGCUGGGGGGGUAACAGUCUACAGCCAUGGUCG